UUUUAAUUUUGUCAAUGAGGUUUUAAAUUGCCGCGGUAUUUUGACCGUGCAAAGGUAGCAUAAUAAUUAGUUUUUUAAUUGAGAGCUGGAAUGAAUGAUUGGACGAGAUAGUAGCUGUCUCUAUAAAAUUUAUAUUUAAAUUUAACUUUUGAGUUAAAAGGCUCAAAUAUUUUUUAAAGACGAGAAGACCCUAUAGAGUUUAACAGUUUUAUAAUUGGUUAGGAGUAUUGGAAUAUAGAAUCUUUUAAUUUGAUGACUGUUUAGUUGGGGUGACUUGAAGAAAAGAUUAACUCUUCUAAGAUUAUAAUCAUUGAUUUGUGAAUUUUGAAUCUAGGUUUACUAAAUAUAAGAUAAAUUACCUUAGGGAUAACAGCGUAAUUUCUUUUUAGAGUUCUUAUUGGGAAAGAAGAUUGCGACCUCGAUGUUGGAUUAAAAUUAAUGUCUGGUGUAGCAGCUGGAUUAUUAGGUCUGUUCGACCUUU
RNAcentral lists this ribosomal RNA (481 nucleotides) under Pectocera amamiinsulana. Its description in RNAcentral is "partial large subunit ribosomal RNA". It matches the Rfam family "Archaeal large subunit ribosomal RNA", at positions 1978 to 2658 of the family's 2987-position model. The record is from RNAcentral. Lineage: Eukaryota; Metazoa; Arthropoda; Insecta; Coleoptera; Elateridae.